GACGAACGCUGGCGGCGUGCCUAAUACAUGCAAGUAGAACGCUGAAGAGAGGAGCUUGCUCUUCUUGGAUGAGUUGCGAACGGGUGAGUAACGCGUAGGUAACCUGCCUGGUAGCGGGGGAUAACUAUUGGAAACGAUAGCUAAUACCGCAUAAUAGUAGAUGUUGCAUGACAUUUACUUAAAAGGUGCAAUUGCAUCACUACCAGAUGGACCUGCGUUGUAUUAGCUAGUUGGUGAGGUAACGGCUCACCAAGGCGACGAUACAUAGCCGACCUGAGAGGGUGAUCGGCCACACUGGGACUGAGACACGGCCCAGACUCCUACGGGAGGCAGCAGUAGGGAAUCUUCGGCAAUGGACGGAAGUCUGACCGAGCAACGCCGCGUGAGUGAAGAAGGUUUUCGGAUCGUAAAGCUCUGUUGUAAGAGAAGAACGAGUGUGAGAG
RNAcentral lists this ribosomal RNA (443 nucleotides) under Streptococcus sp. oral taxon 064. RNAcentral describes it as "bacterial SSU rRNA". It matches the Rfam family "Bacterial small subunit ribosomal RNA", at positions 28 to 461 of the family's 1533-position model. The record is from RNAcentral. Lineage: Bacteria; Bacillati; Bacillota; Bacilli; Lactobacillales; Streptococcaceae.